GUAAAAAAUUUAUAAGAAUAUGAUGUUGGUUCAGAUUAAGCGCUAAAUAAGGACAUGACACAUGCGAAUCAUACGUUUAUUAUUGAUAAGAUAAUAAAUAUGUGGUGUAAACGUGAGUAAUUUUAUUAGGAAUUAAUGAACUAUAGAAUAAGCUAAAUACUUAAUAUAUUAUUAUAUAAAAAUAAUUUAUAUAAUAAAAAGGAUAUAUAUAUAAUAUAUAUUUAUCUAUAGUCAAGCCAAUAAUGGUUUAGGUAGUAGGUUUAUUAAGAGUUAAACCUAGCCAACGAUCCAUAAUCGAUAAUGAAAGUUAGAACGAUCACGUUGACUCUGAAAUAUAGUCAAUAUCUAUAAGAUACAGCAGUGAGGAAUAUUGGACAAUGAUCGAAAGAUUGAUCCAGUUACUUAUUAGGAUGAUAUAUAAAAAUAUUUUAUUUUAUUUAUAAAUAUUAAAUAUUUAUAAUAAUAAUAAUAAUAAUAUAUAUAUAUAAAUUGAUUAAAAAUAAAAUCCAUAAAUAAUUAAAAUAAUGAUAUUAAUUACCAUAUAUAUUUUAUAUGGAUAUAUAUAUUAAUAAUAAUAUUAAUUUAUUAUUAUUAAUAAUAUAUUUUAAUAGUCCUGACUAAUAUUUGUGCCAGCAGUCGCGGUAACACAAAGAGGGCGAGCGUUAAUCAUAAUGGUUUAAAGGAUCCGUAGAAUGAAUUAUAUAUUAUAAUUUAGAGUUAAUAAAAUUAAUUAAAGAAUUAUAAUAGUAAAGAUGAAAUAAUAAUAAUAAUUAUAAGACUAAUAUAUGUGAAAAUAUUAAUUAAAUAUUAACUGACAUUGAGGGAUUAAAACUAGAGUAGCGAAACGGAUUCGAUACCCGUGUAGUUCUAGUAGUAAACUAUGAAUACAAUUAUUUAUAAUAUAUAUUAUAUAUAAAUAAUAAAUGAAAAUGAAAGUAUUCCACCUGAAGAGUACGUUAGCAAUAAUGAAACUCAAAACAAUAGACGGUUACAGACUUAAGCAGUGGAGCAUGUUAUUUAAUUCGAUAAUCCACGACUAACCUUACCAUAUUUUGAAUAUUAUAAUAAUUAUUAUAAUUAUUAUAUUACAGGCGUUACAUUGUUGUCUUUAGUUCGUGCUGCAAAGUUUUAGAUUAAGUUCAUAAACGAACAAAACUCCAUAUAUAUAAUUUUAAUUAUAUAUAAUUUUAUAUUAUUUAUUAAUAUAAAGAAAGGAAUUAAGACAAAUCAUAAUGAUCCUUAUAAUAUGGGUAAUAGACGUGCUAUAAUAAAAUGAUAAUAAAAUUAUAUAAAAUAUAUUUAAUUAUAUUUAAUUAAUAAUAUAAAACAUUUUAAUUUUUAAUAUAUUUUUUUAUUAUAUAUUAAUAUGAAUUAUAAUCUGAAAUUCGAUUAUAUGAAAAAAGAAUUGCUAGUAAUACGUAAAUUAGUAUGUUACGGUGAAUAUUCUAACUGUUUCGCACUAAUCACUCAUCACGCGUUGAAACAUAUUAUUAUCUUAUUAUUUAUAUAAUAUUUUUUAAUAAAUAUUAAUAAUUAUUAAUUUAUAUUUAUUUAUAUCAGAAAUAAUAUGAAUUAAUGCGAAGUUGAAAUACAGUUACCGUAGGGGAACCUGCGGUGGGCUUAUAAAUAUCUUAAAUAUUCUUACA
RNAcentral lists this non-coding RNA (1646 nucleotides) under Saccharomyces cerevisiae (brewer's yeast). RNAcentral's name for it is "small subunit ribosomal RNA". It matches the Rfam family "Bacterial small subunit ribosomal RNA". RNAcentral also lists the same sequence under 1 other name. The record is from RNAcentral. Lineage: Eukaryota; Fungi; Ascomycota; Saccharomycetes; Saccharomycetales; Saccharomycetaceae.